GAGUGUCGAGCAACAAGGCAAGCAUAGAUAUCUCCGGAGCGGCACGACCGGUCUCUGGAAGUCUCUGGAAUCUUCUUCUAUAAUAAAUUGCUCCUCUCCUCCACCUCGCUUCCGUUGCCCGCGCCACCGUCUUGGUUCGUGGUCGAUCUCAGCCGCCGAGGAAUUCGACACGCCCACCGGCGAGGACACGAUGGACGUCCCAAAUGGCGACCCCGCCCUCCAGAUCGGCGAUUGGGUCAGAUGUAUAUCUGGUUUCCUUUCUUUUUCUCUUUCGGUUCUUUUUGUCUUUGGGCGUAUCUGCGGUUGGUCUGGUGGCUUUUAGUGGUUUCUGGGUGGAAAGGGUCCGAUCUCUGAGGUGCUGGCGUGCAGUGUAUCUCGCUGGGACGCUGCUCGACGGGACUAAGUUCGACUCCGCCCGUGAUCGGGAUACCCCGUUCAGGUUCAAUCUCGGCCUUGGUGAGGGGGCUUUUGUUUCCAAAUUCUUGCUGUCUUGAUCGAUGAAACUGCUUCUCCUCCCUCUGCGAGUUUGAACAAAGGUCUGCUGUCAGAUGACACAGAACAUGAUCCUAAAAUUGGCAUGCAGAUAACAGGAGCAUUGUGGCUUCAGCUAGAUGUCCAAAGGCGCCUUCAUGAGCAGCUAGAGGUGCAUGCUUCCAUACUGUUGCAGGCAACUCUGAACAAAGGGCUGCUGUCGAUGUCACAGAACAUGAUCUUACAAUUUCACUAAUUAGAGGCGAUCAUACUGCUGCAGUGGCAUGCAGAUAACGGAAGUAUUACGGCUUCAGCUAGAUGACCAAAGGUGCCUUCAGGAGCAGCCAGAGAUGCACUUCAUGAGACUCCUCUUACAGUAAUUUGAUUGAAGUCCUCCUGCUGAAUCAAAAAUAUCAGAAAUGUUUCUCUUUUAUUUUUCUCUUACUAAGACCCAAAGAAAUUUACAGCAGAGGAUAAAGUAGAAUGCUCCAGCAGAUGUUUGAAGAGAAAGUGAAAACAAAAAAAAGUGCUAUUGAGCCUGAAAACCUGGCUAUUUUGUUUUCAAAUUGUCCAGAGAGUCUUAAAGAUGCUCAGUUCUUGUGUGCCCCAGAUGGGUCACAGAACACAUUUCCAAUUGAAGAUUGGUUAGCUUUAAGAUGUAGCAUAUAAUUUCUGUAUAAGUGUGCAUAAAUUUACCAGCUUUCUUGCUGUUUCAUGCUGAUCAACAUGAUUAGUAUCUCUUUGCAGGUUUUAAGGAUGCCUUUUGUAAUAUCCUCAAUUACUCAAAGAGAACUUUCUGUAAGUUGAUGGUAGAUCUCCACUCUGGAUUUAGAAGGGCUUGUAGAAUUCGAUGUAAGCACCAUUUUUAAUUAGUGGAUUAAGUAUAGUGGAAUAUUUGUUUCAGAAAGAGCACAAGGAAUCAUACAUAUAUUUCAUAUGAAUGCUCUAAGGUUCAAUCA
This is an RNA transcript of Musa acuminata AAA Group (dessert banana), 1430 nucleotides long. RefSeq lists it as uncharacterized. The record is from RefSeq and is a predicted model, not a curated record. The transcript has 4 exons. NCBI's taxonomy places the organism in Eukaryota, Viridiplantae, Streptophyta, Magnoliopsida, Zingiberales, Musaceae.